AUUGCCAACAUUUUACCACGUCCAAAAAAGGCAAAUAAAAAUUUCCUGUCAAAAUGUCAAAGCCCUACGAAUAUUUUAACAGAAUUACAACAAAAAAAAAAAAAAAACAAAAUUGUAUAUGUAAACAUUUUUUAGACGUUUUAAAAUUUAAAAUUAUUUUGUUGAUUUUCGCGCUAUUAGUAGACAUUUUGAGAGUUUAGUAUGUAAUAUUUGUUAAUUGUAUAGUAUCUCGUAGUGUAGUAGUGGGUCGUAGGUGUUGUCAUUCCAGAGAUCGCGUAAGUUCCCUGAAAUUCCCGAGUUCCGACAUAUUUUUUGCAGAACCACAUUAGGUAAGUAACAGGGAAAAAACAAGUGCAUUUUGGGUGCACCUAGAAACGCAAUGUGUCGUAACAUAACGUAUAAUAUACCUAUAUUAUUUUAAAAGCAAUACUAUGAACCGAGCUCCGCUCAAAAUUGUUUUUUGUUAGCUCUGUUGAGUUAGUCUGGUGAGUUGUAGGGGAUCGUUAUCAAUAGGAUUCACUUAAAAACUUGUCUAAAAAGUAAACUAAUACUACUGUAAAACUAUGAUUAUUACGAUAUAAUAAUUUCAAAAUAAAAAAACAGGAUAAAUAUUUUAUUUAGUAACUAUAAUUAAUAAUUAUAUUUAUAUUAUUCACUAGAUGACAUUGGUGUAUUGUGUAUGGAGUAGAUGUGUGAUAGUUUUAUGAGUUUUAUUAACUAACAUUUUUCAAUCGAGUAAGACAUUUUGGAAGGCUGUAGAAUACUGUGCC
This is a non-coding RNA of Cinara cedri, 770 nucleotides long. The record is from the annotation of a GenBank genome assembly. NCBI's taxonomy places the organism in Eukaryota, Metazoa, Arthropoda, Insecta, Hemiptera, Aphididae.